UACGUAGGGGGCAAGCGUUGUCCGGAUUUAUUGGGCGUAAAGAGCGCGCAGGCGGUCGUUCAAGUCGCGUGUGAAAGCCCCCGGCUCAACUGGGGAGGGUCACGCGAUACUGAUCGACUCGAAGGCAGGAGAGGGUAGUGGAAUUCCCGGUGUAGUGGUGAAAUGCGUAGAUAUCGGGAGGAACACCAGUGGCGAAGGCGACUACCUGGCCUGUUUCUUGACGCUGAGGCGCGAAAGCUAGGGGAGCAAACGGG
Molecule: ribosomal RNA, 254 nt
Filed under: uncultured bacterium
Lineage: Bacteria
Description: partial 16S ribosomal RNA
Rfam family: Bacterial small subunit ribosomal RNA
Source: RNAcentral